UGGGGAAUAUUGGACAAUGGGCGCAAGCCUGAUCCAGCCAUACCGCGUGGGUGAAGAAGGCCUUCGGGUUGUAAAGCCCUUUUGUUGGGAAAGAAAAGCAGCCGGUUAAUACCCGGUUGUUCUGACGGUACCCAAAGAAUAAGCACCGGCUAACUUCGUGCCAGCAGCCGCGGUAAUACGAAGGGUGCAAGCGUUACUCGGAAUUACUGGGCGUAAAGCGUGCGUAGGUGGUUGUUUAAGUCUGUCGUGAAAGCCCUGGGCUCAACCUGGGAAUGGCGAUGGAAACUGGGCGACUAGAGUGUGGCAGAGGGUAGUGGAAUUCCUGGUGUAGCAGUGAAAUGCGUAGAGAUCAGGAGGAACAUCCGUGGCGAAGGCGACUGCCUGGGCCAACACUGACACUGAGGCACGAAAGCGUGGGGAGCAAACAGG
Molecule: ribosomal RNA, 429 nt
Filed under: uncultured bacterium
Lineage: Bacteria
Also listed under: 2 other names
Description: bacterial SSU rRNA
Rfam family: Bacterial small subunit ribosomal RNA
Source: RNAcentral